Long non-coding RNA from Symphalangus syndactylus (siamang), 392 nucleotides. RefSeq lists it as uncharacterized. The record is from RefSeq and is a predicted model, not a curated record. NCBI's taxonomy places the organism in Eukaryota, Metazoa, Chordata, Mammalia, Primates, Hylobatidae.
AGAGAAAUCUCAUCGAACCCAAGAGGAGAAGUAAUUAGUCUCAUGAGGAACGAGGAAGCAGUGCUCUCUCUCUCUCUGUUUCUUUCUGUCUGGGAAAUCAUGGCCCUGCAGCCUCUGCUUCUAAGCCAAGGAGAAACAUGAAAACUCAAAUGUGCCCUGAACCAGUCUCAACCCUGAAGUUAAGGAAUGCAAAAGAGAAAUGCCCGAAAAACACCAGCAUUCCCAUCAGAGACUGCUGCCGCUGGUCAUGAAACCCCAUCAUCACUUAAAUUGCUCUAUUUUAAAGGUUUGUGAAAACUGCACCAAAUUGAUUUUUCCCAUAUCACUUCUAUCUGUUAUUUCUGUGGUCUCUCUUCUUCAUUGCUACAUUUCCCCGGAGCAAGGGAGCAAAU